RNAcentral lists this ribosomal RNA (253 nucleotides) under uncultured bacterium. Its description in RNAcentral is "partial 16S ribosomal RNA". It matches the Rfam family "Bacterial small subunit ribosomal RNA", at positions 524 to 776 of the family's 1533-position model. The record is from RNAcentral.
UACAGGGGGAUGCAAACGUUGCUCGGAAUCAUUGGGCGUAAAGCGCACGUAGGCGGUUCGUUAUGUCGGAUGUGAAAGCCCUUGGCUUAACGAGGAAGUGCAUCCGAAACUGGCGAGCUAGAGUACGAAAGAGGAUCGCGGAAUUCCCGGUGUAGAGGUGAAAUUCGUAGAUAUCGGGAGGAACACCGGUGGCGAAGGCGGCGAUCUGGGUCGAUACUGACGCUGAGGUGCGAAAGCGUGGGGAGCAAACAGG